This 435-nucleotide ribosomal RNA is filed under the name uncultured bacterium. RNAcentral's name for it is "partial 16S ribosomal RNA". It matches the Rfam family "Bacterial small subunit ribosomal RNA", at positions 29 to 507 of the family's 1533-position model. The record is from RNAcentral.
AACGAACGCUGGCGGCAGGCUUAACACAUGCAAGUCGAACGCGUGCAGCAAUGCACGAGUGGCGCACGGGUGAGUAACGAGUGGAUAUCUGCCUUUUGGUUCGGAAUAACCCCGGGAAACUGGGGCUAAUACCGGAUGGUUCCUACGGGAUAAAGAUUUAUCGCCAAAAGAUGAGUCCGCGUCCGAUUAGCUAGUUGGUGAGGUAAUGGCUCACCAAGGCGACGAUCGGUAGCUGGUCUGAGAGGACGAUCAGCCACACUGGGACUGAGACACGGCCCAGACUCCUACGGGAGGCAGCAGUGGGGAAUAUUGGGCAAUGGGGGCAACCCUGAUCCAGCCAUGCCGCGUGAGUGAUGAAGGCCUUCGGGUUGUAAAGCUCUUUUGGCGGGGACGAUGAUGACGGUACCCGCAGAAUAAGCCCCGGCUAACUUCGUG